Molecule: long non-coding RNA, 891 nt
Organism: Scomber japonicus (chub mackerel)
Lineage: Eukaryota; Metazoa; Chordata; Actinopteri; Scombriformes; Scombridae
Exons: 3
Source: RefSeq, a predicted model, not a curated record
AAGUGGUGAGGAAAAGAAGACGUUUCUCAGCAGCGUGUAGGAAGAUGUUUGGAUGCUGUGACGCAGAAGCCAAAUCUGAUCCAGAGGGAGCUCACUGAAUUUCAGUUUCAUUGUGCGGUCCAUUCGGAGCUCUGCGCAUCCCUCCCUCUCUUUCUCAGUGAGUUUUGCUGUGGAGGAUUCCUGACUGAAUGGGUCUCGAAUCCAGUCACAGUCCUCUAUGUCUGCUUCAUCUGGAAAACAGCGCUCAAACCUCUCCUUAAGAGUCUGAAGGUGCGUAGCAGAUAAACUGCGCGCCCUGGCUGUGGCGGCUGAUGCCAGAGGAAACAUUUCCAUGGAGCCUUGUUUCAAAGCGUCCUGCCACAAGUUAUGUAAUUAGCAGCUGUCACCAAAUCCCACGGCACACCUGGACUCAUCUCACGGCACACCAUUUGGGAACCACUGGUCUAAGGACUUCGUUGAUCCAAAAUGAGCGAGUCAACUAAACCACCACCCGUGAUUGAAACCUGGACCAAGGAAGACGUCCACCGUUGGCUGAUGACAGAGGUCAAAGUUCAUCAGACUUGUGCAGACAGGUUCAUAGAAGAGGAAGUGUCAGGAGAAAAUCUAGAUGACUUUGAAAAGAAAGAUAUAUUAGAUCUGGGAAUAAAACACGGUCCUGCAGUCAAAAUCAUGUGUUAUCUAGAGAGGCUGAAGGAAGGAUCACAGCAGGAGUCACAGUUGCCAGCAUAUGUGGAAAAAUGGACAAAGGAGGAAGUGAACCAGUGGUUACUGCAGAAUGUGAAGGUGGACAAUAAAAAAGCCCAACGCCUCCUGGAGGAGGAUGUGUCUGGAGACUGUCUCGUUUGCUUCAAGAAGCAGGACUUUCUGGAUCUGCAGCUGAAAAGUGGACCU